GAUGAACGCUGGCGGCGUGCCUAAUACAUGCAAGUCGAGCGGGAGAAUCAUCCUUCGGGAUGAGGAUCCAGCGGCGAACGGGUGAGUAACACGUGGGCAACCUGCCCGCAAGACCGGGAUAACUCCGGGAAACCGGGGCUAAUACCGGAUAGUCCUUUUCCCCGCAUGGGGAAAAGGGGAAAGGCGGCUUCGGCUGUCACUUGCGGAUGGGCCCGCGGCGCAUUAGCUGGUUGGUGAGGUAACGGCUCACCAAGGCGACGAUGCGUAGCCGACCUGAGAGGGUGAUCGGCCACACUGGGACUGAGACACGGCCCAGACUCCUACGGGAGGCAGCAGUAGGGAAUUUUCCGCAAUGGGCGAAAGCCUGACGGAGCAACGCCGCGUGAGUGAGGACGGCCUUCGGGUUGUAAAACUCUGUUCUUGAGGAAGAAUUCCUUCCAGGCGAACAGCCUGGAAGGUUGACGGUACUCAAGGAGAAAGCCCCGGCUAACUACGUGCCAGCAGCCGCGGUAAUACGUAGGGGGCGAGCGUUAUCCGGAAUUAUUGGGCGUAAAGCGCGCGCAGGCGGCUGAUUAAGUCAGGUGUGAAAGGCUGCGGCUAAACCCAAAACCGCAACCGAAAACGGGCAACCUGAAGGCAAGAAAAGGGAACCGAAAUCCCCGGGGAAGCGGUGGAAUGCGUAGAGAUCGGGAGGAACACCAGUGGCGAAGGCGGCUCUCUGGCCUGUA
This 728-nucleotide ribosomal RNA is filed under the name Thermoactinomyces vulgaris. RNAcentral's name for it is "bacterial SSU rRNA". It matches the Rfam family "Bacterial small subunit ribosomal RNA", at positions 28 to 738 of the family's 1533-position model. The record is from RNAcentral. Lineage: Bacteria; Bacillati; Bacillota; Bacilli; Caryophanales; Thermoactinomycetaceae.